UGACAUUUCUAGGGAUGAAGUAGAUGUCAUUAUCACAUAGCUGGAUUCUAGCAUAGCGAAUGCCUUCUCGUCUCAUUUGGUUUAGCUUGGCUUCAUCCACCCACUGAACACACUAGAAGGAGAAAAUAGGUUGAAGGUGUGCCUGCUAUUAUUAUUUGAAAGAAGUCUGCCUGGAUUCUACCUUCAUAGCAGAUCACCACUGUACUUACCAUUCACCAAACUGUACAGCUUUCAGCACUCCUACAGCAGCUGUACUCUGCCAGUCAAACCCCUGCCCAACAUGAUCAGCAUGUGCUCUUGUUCUGUCUUCAAAAAGAACUUCACGGGGUUCACUGGUCCGAGGAUGAUGGGUUACAUCCAGACUAAAAUUUUCAUCAGCAGAAUGGAGUUUUCCUGCCUCCCACUGAUCUCCACGAAAUACUGCUUCUGAGUGACAGGGGAAUCUGUGGAAUUACAUAAGGAGGGUCUGCAAACAAAGAGGAGAAUUGGUAGAAACUGACAAUUUGGUCUGAAACCAAAUAGAUGGAAGCACCUUAAAAAUGUUUUAAUUUUGUUUUAGGGUUUUUAAAUGUAUUAUUUCAAUAUGCUAAAGUUUGGGGGAGGUAUUUUACUUUUGUAAUUAUUUUGAGGAAUAGUUUUCUGGUCCAGAAAUUUUAGCACCCAAAAUCAUGACCUUUAAAAAAACCACAACCAUUUGGGGAGCCCCUCUCCCAGUCAGCAAGAGUGGGGAGGGAGAGUAGGAUCAAGAGGAAGCUGACCCCCACAAACAGUUGUCUGGUCAGCCUCACUGGGUCCUUUAAAUUUGAAAGGGCUUUUAUUUUCUAUAGGAAUCAUCCUGGUCUUCAGAAGCUUGUCACAGAAAAUAGCCUUUUAAUAUUUAAAGGGAUUAGGUUUAAUUAAACAGCUGUUUGCCAAAGCCAGCUUUCUCUCUUCUCUCCACUUCUGGCCUUCUAAAAUUCCAGGGGAUAAAUUAUUGCACCUGAUCAUAAUCCCAAAGAUGACCAACAAGAAGGAUACUCCAGUGUCAGUCAUAAAUUGUACUGAUACAUUGGUGAAAUAGUACAUCCCAUCCAAAGCACUGAUCUACUCAAGCAAGAAGUUCUACAUUGAUUUAAAAACAGUAACUAUAUAACCUCCACAAAUUGAACAAUAGUCAUGCCCACUAUUGUAGCAGACCCACUUCUAUGGACUCACAACCCUGAAUUAAUAAAAAUCUUUCUUAAACACUUCAGCAAAAUAUUCAAGGGUCUCCCUUCUCCAUCACUUUUAAGGACAGUUUCCCAAAGCAAAAUAGCAAUUUAGAGAUUACAAAUCAAGACAGACAACUUCAAAUAUUUUGUCCUACUCAAGAAUGGACAAUUUGUUUAUUUAAAAACAUUCCAUUCAAAUGGGUGUCCCAAGGCAGUGAACAUUAAAACAUUUCAUACUUUAAAAAUAUUUAAAAUAAUGUAUAUCUAGAAUAAUUCAAUGAAAACAUAAACACACAACACUACGCUGAACAUAUACAAGGCACAAGGUAUUACACUGUUUAUACAUGGUAUCAAGAUGUACAGCACUUUACACAGAAGCAACGGAAAUAGUUUUCUGGUCUUGGCACAAGGAAGCACAAGGAGGGGAAGAAGAAGGAAGGAAGCUUAAAAAGGAAAAGAACAUGUGUUUAGAAACAUCUUUGGGAUGCACACUAACAGACAUGGUUUCAGAAUUAGAACUAGAAGAAAAAGAUCAAUGAUGUAGACCUGAUCAUCAGUUUUCCUCCCACUGUAAAAUGUCAUCUUCAAUAAUAAAAGUAGUAUUACCUGCGUCGCUUGA
Sphaerodactylus townsendi is the source of this 1809-nucleotide long non-coding RNA. RefSeq lists it as uncharacterized. The record is from RefSeq and is a predicted model, not a curated record. The transcript is spliced from 3 exons. NCBI's taxonomy places the organism in Eukaryota, Metazoa, Chordata, Lepidosauria, Squamata, Sphaerodactylidae.